UGUUGACCUCGGAUCAGGUAGGAAUACCCGCUGAACUUAAGCAUAUCAU
RNAcentral lists this ribosomal RNA (49 nucleotides) under Fusarium sp. RNAcentral's name for it is "partial 28S ribosomal RNA". The record is from RNAcentral. Lineage: Eukaryota; Fungi; Ascomycota; Sordariomycetes; Hypocreales; Nectriaceae.